RNAcentral lists this ribosomal RNA (495 nucleotides) under Triticum aestivum (bread wheat). Its description in RNAcentral is "partial small subunit ribosomal RNA". The record is from RNAcentral. Lineage: Eukaryota; Viridiplantae; Streptophyta; Magnoliopsida; Poales; Poaceae.
AUGACGCGGGCAGUGAAAAGAACGCUUCUUUGCUUUGCAGCACAAUCUUCCUCACACCUCGACUCGAGUCAUCUAGCUUCUCCCCCCUUUCCAAAUGCAUUGUGUACAGGUUCACUCCUAGUAAUAUACUAUAUAGCAGUAAAACAAAGAAGAAACAAUGGUGACCAAAGCAAGGCAAAAAAGAAUCGAGCUCAGCAAGGAGACGGCAAUGGACGGACUAGCUCACCACCGGAUCUCAUACCAGAGGCAGCAGUGCUGGUAGUACAUACAACAAUGCUAUACACCACCGCCCAGUUGCCGUUGCCUUUGCCGCCGACGACGACGGCGGCGAAACCGCGGUGCCGUUCCUGGCCCCGCCGCGCAGCGCGGGGGGCGAGGACAGCUUCGUCGGCGGCGUCCGCGCGCUCUCGGGCGGCUCCGGCGGCAUCGAGCUGGCGGCCGCCGGCGGGGGCGCCAGGGCCGCGGCGACGACGGCGGCCGAGUCGGCCCUGGUGA